GGGUCAGUAGGUUGGUCGUGCCACCGGUACGUACCGGUCUCACUGAUUCCUCCUUCCUGAAGAACCGUAAUGCCAUUAAUUUGGUGUUGCGGGGAAACAGGACUGUUACUUUGAAAAAAUUAGAGUGUUUAAAGCAAGCUAACGCUUGAAUACAUUAGCAUGGAAUAAUGAAACAGGACGAUCGAUCCUAUUUUGUUGGUUUCUAGGAUUGACGUA
This 216-nucleotide ribosomal RNA is filed under the name Glomeromycotina sp. RNAcentral describes it as "partial small subunit ribosomal RNA". The stretch from base 40 to 216 matches the Rfam family "Eukaryotic small subunit ribosomal RNA", at positions 686 to 864 of the family's 1831-position model. The record is from RNAcentral. Lineage: Eukaryota; Fungi; Glomeromycota.